UACGAAGGGGGCGAGCGUUGUUCGGAAUCACUGGGCUUAAAGGGCUCGUAGGUGGCCAACUAAGUCAGACGUGAAAUCCCUCAGCUUAACUGGGGAACUGCGUCUGAUACUGGAUGGCUUGAGUUUGGGAGAGGGAUGCGGAAUUCCAGGUGUAGCGGUGAAAUGCGUAGAUAUCUGGAGGAACACCGGUGGCGAAGGCGGCAUCCUGGACCAACACUGACACUGAGGAGCGAAAGCCAGGGGAGCAAACGGG
Molecule: ribosomal RNA, 253 nt
Filed under: uncultured bacterium
Lineage: Bacteria
Description: partial 16S ribosomal RNA
Rfam family: Bacterial small subunit ribosomal RNA
Source: RNAcentral